GAUGAACGCUGGCGGCGUGCCUAAUACAUGCAAGUCGAGCGAACGGACGAGAAGCUUGCUUCUCUGAUGUUAGCGGCGGACGGGUGAGUAACACGUGGAUAACCUACCUAUAAGACUGGGAUAACUUCGGGAAACCGGAGCUAAUACCGGAUGAUAUUUUGAACCGCAUGGUUCAAAAGUGAAAGACGGUCUUGCUGUCACUUAUAGAUGGAUCCGCGCUGCAUUAGCUAGUUGGUAGGGUAACGGAUUACCAAGGCAACGAUGCAUAGCCGACCUGAGAGGGUGAUCGGCCACACUGGAACUGAGACACGGUCCAGACUCCUACGGGAGGCAGCAGUAGGGAAUCUUCCGCAAUGGGCGAAAGCCUGACGGAGCAACGCCGCGUGAGUGAUGAAGGUCUUCGGAUCGUAAAACUCUGUUAUUAGGGAAGAACAUAUGUGUAAGUAACUGUGCACAUCUUGACGGUACCUAAUCAGAAAGCCACGGCUAACUACGUG
RNAcentral lists this ribosomal RNA (497 nucleotides) under uncultured bacterium. RNAcentral describes it as "partial 16S ribosomal RNA". It matches the Rfam family "Bacterial small subunit ribosomal RNA", at positions 28 to 507 of the family's 1533-position model. The record is from RNAcentral.